ACGUAAAAAGGUGCACAAAAAAAUAAGAGUGCGGGAGGUACCAAUUCCCGGUGGAAAAAACUGGAAGUAUGCUUUGAUGCGCCCAAGAUUUCCUGAAGCUUGGCCAAGCGUGUAGUUCAAUUGCGUCCCGCCGCAGGUCUGUACGGGAGUCACCGGGAAUACUGCGACUUGCUGGGAAUCCACGCCGGUAGAAUCGGCACCUGUCCAAGAAAACAGAACACCCCCACAAAAAGCAGAGGAUAGAAUAGAGGGAAAGAGCAGGGGUUGCCGGUAAAAUUUCCGGCGAAAAGCAAGAAUUCUGGACCUCUAAACAGCGGCAAUAUCUGCCUUGAAUUAGCAGUGCGAGAAGGAGAUGAGGAGGCUAAGUGAA
This 370-nucleotide long non-coding RNA is filed under the name Nicotiana benthamiana. Its description in RNAcentral is "long non-coding RNA (NBEN_LNC025699)". The record is from RNAcentral. Lineage: Eukaryota; Viridiplantae; Streptophyta; Magnoliopsida; Solanales; Solanaceae.